Transfer RNA from Clostridium novyi NT, 74 nucleotides. It matches the Rfam family "tRNA". Rfam says of the family: Transfer RNA (tRNA) molecules are approximately 80 nucleotides in length. Their secondary structure includes four short double-helical elements and three loops (D, anti-codon, and T loops). NCBI's taxonomy places the organism in Bacteria, Bacillati, Bacillota, Clostridia, Eubacteriales, Clostridiaceae. The record is from Rfam.
GCAUCCGUAGCUCAGUAGGAUAGAGCGUCCCCCUCCUAAGGGGAAGGCCGGGGGUUCGAUUCCCUUCGGGUGUA